This 484-nucleotide ribosomal RNA is filed under the name uncultured bacterium. RNAcentral's name for it is "partial 16S ribosomal RNA". It matches the Rfam family "Bacterial small subunit ribosomal RNA", at positions 30 to 507 of the family's 1533-position model. The record is from RNAcentral.
AUUGAACGCUGGCGGCAGGCCUAACACAUGCAAGUCGAGCGGAUGAAGGGAGCUUGCUCCUGGAUUCAGCGGCGGACGGGUGAGUAAUGCCUAGGAAUCUGCCUGGUAGUGGGGGAUAACGUCCGGAAACGGGCGCUAAUACCGCAUACGUCCUGAGGGAGAAAGUGGGGGAUCUUCGGACCUCACGCUAUCAGAUGAGCCUAGGUCGGAUUAGCUAGUUGGUGGGGUAAAGGCCUACCAAGGCGACGAUCCGUAACUGGUCUGAGAGGAUGAUCAGUCACACUGGAACUGAGACACGGUCCAGACUCCUACGGGAGGCAGCAGUGGGGAAUAUUGGACAAUGGGCGAAAGCCUAAUCCAGCGAUGCCGCGUGUGUGAAGAAGGUCUUCGGAUUGUAAAGCACUUUAAGUUGGGAGGAAGGGCAGUAAGUUAAUACCUUGCUGUUUUGACGUUACCAACAGAAUAAGCACCGGCUAACUUCGUG